Oncorhynchus nerka (sockeye salmon) is the source of this 1567-nucleotide long non-coding RNA. RefSeq lists it as uncharacterized. The transcript has 4 exons. NCBI's taxonomy places the organism in Eukaryota, Metazoa, Chordata, Actinopteri, Salmoniformes, Salmonidae. The record is from RefSeq and is a predicted model, not a curated record.
UUUUUGGCGUAUUUCUUUCCUUGUCUUUUUUUCUUCUUCUUUUUUCAAUCAUAGUCAUUUAAUAGCAUUGAUAGACAUUACAAAUAACCAUCCCACAAUAGGAAAGUCGGAGCUAAAGGUUCAUGGUCCCACAGACUACAUGCCACAACUCCCCCAGAACACCCCACCCUCUCCACUACCCGCUUCCUUGUGUUCCUCUCCUUCUGACCAGAGUCCAGGAGUACAGGGAGGGGUGGGAGGAGAGAGGAGGAGAACACAGCAAGACAGCUGAAGAAGGGGGAACAGAGGAUGAAGUCUCUCGCUCUCAUGUUCUUCCCCUCAGAGUGACAUCUUGGGAGAGAAAGAGAGAGAUCAGGAGGAGAGGAGGAGCGAAUUGAGAAGGGGGAUAUCAGCCUUAUUGGACCGACUGCAGGGUGGGGGCACAGGGGUUGCAUAGGGGCAGAUGGAGGUACAGCUCCCCCUUGUGGACGUGGAAGAAGACAGCAGAGUCUGAUAGACCCAUAGCCAGACCUCCAGACCAGAGGACACCUUCACAUUCCCUGACCCAGCACACAACACCUCAGAGUGGCAAGAGGAGACCGGAACAGAGAGGAUGAGGACAGAUGCAUGUCACCAUCUCACCAGGCUGACUUAUAGCCACACAGGCUCGUGCUAGACCCAGGUACUAAGGACACACACAUCAUAUACCCCUUUUCCAUAUCUUGUACUGAUUUACCCCACAAGACAUGUCAUCAGAGGUCUCUUCACAGUCCCAAGUCCAGAACAGACUAUGGGAGGUGCACAGUACUACAUAGAGACAUGACUACAUGGAACUCUAUUCCACAUCAAUUAACUUAUGCAAUCAGUAACAUUUUAUUUCAAAAACAGAUAAAAAUACACCUUAUGGACCAGCGGGGACUGUGAAGCAACACAAGCACAGGCACAGACACAUGCAUACAAACACACGAUAACAAACGUACUAUACACACAUGUACACAUGGAUUUUGUGUUGUGGACAUGUGGUAGUAGAGUAUGGGACUGAGGGCACACACUUAAUAUGUUGUGAAAUCUUUCGUGAAUGUAUUGUAAUGUUUUUUUAUUUUUAUGUUAUUGGACCCCAGGGAGCCAAGGCAGCAGCUAAUGGGGCCCCAUAAUAAAUACAAAAACUGGAUUAGCUCUGAUGAUGAUAUUGACCCAUUUGUCUGUUCUAGUCUGGCCAUGUAAUGAGUAACUUCAAUUCAAUACGACUUUAUUAAUCCCAUAGGGACAAUUCGAUAGGCAUCUAGGGAGUCGGCCAGUAAGGAGUCAUCCAACUGGAGAUCCAUGGUCCUAAGAGAUACACACACUGAGACGUUAUCAACUCAACCGGGCUCUGACAAGGGCCCUUAAUAGUCCUCUCAUAUUCUCACGCCCAAACGUCUACACAACGUCCUGUAAAUCUCCCACUGUUAUUGUUUUAAUGGUACUAAUGUUAGUAUUGUCCCAGUGGUAAAAACGUCAGCUUCAAACAGCCGACUAUGUCUGGGCUCUACUGGAGUAAAGGAGAAGGGCGAGAGUAUAUAGCUUGUGAAAAUAGAUGGCCACGCUG